This 433-nucleotide ribosomal RNA is filed under the name uncultured bacterium. RNAcentral's name for it is "partial 16S ribosomal RNA". It matches the Rfam family "Bacterial small subunit ribosomal RNA", at positions 29 to 507 of the family's 1533-position model. The record is from RNAcentral.
AACGAACGCUGGCGGCAUGCCUAACACAUGCAAGUCGAACGAGACCUUCGGGUCUAGUGGCGCACGGGUGCGUAACGCGUGGGAACCUGCCCUUAGGUUCGGAAUAACUCCCCGAAAGGGGUGCUAAUACCGGAUAAUGUCUUCGGACCAAAGAUUUAUCGCCUUUGGAUGGGCCCGCGUUGGAUUAGCUAGUUGGUAGGGUAAAAGCCUACCAAGGCGACGAUCCAUAGCUGGUCUGAGAGGAUGAUCAGCCACACUGGGACUGAGACACGGCCCAGACUCCUACGGGAGGGAGGAAUGGGGGAUAUUGGAACAUGGGGGGAAGGCUGAUCCAGCAAUGCCGGGUGAAUGAUGAAAGCCUUAGGGUUGUAAAGCUCUUUUACCCGGGAUGAUAAUGACAGUACCGGGAGAAUAAGCUCCGGCUAACUCCGUG